AGCUUUGCGCAGUGGCAGUAUUGUAGCCAAUGAGGUUUAUCUGAAGCGCGAUUAUUGCUAAUUGAAAAAUCAAGGCCCAGGACCUCUGGGUGGCUCAGUCUGUUAAAAGCAUCUGACUCUUGAUCUCAGUUCAGGUCUUGAUCUCAGGGUCAUGAGUUCAAGUCCCAUGUUGGG
Molecule: small nuclear RNA, 174 nt
Filed under: Canis lupus familiaris (dog)
Lineage: Eukaryota; Metazoa; Chordata; Mammalia; Carnivora; Canidae
Description: U4 spliceosomal RNA (multiple genes)
Rfam family: U4 spliceosomal RNA (bases 1-79)
Source: RNAcentral